Molecule: ribosomal RNA, 715 nt
Filed under: uncultured beta proteobacterium
Lineage: Bacteria; Pseudomonadati; Pseudomonadota; Betaproteobacteria
Description: bacterial SSU rRNA
Rfam family: Bacterial small subunit ribosomal RNA
Source: RNAcentral
GAACGGUAACGCGGGGCAACCCGGCGACGAGUGGCGAACGGGUGAGUAAUACAUCGGAACGUGCCCAGUAAUGGGGGAUAGCCCGGCGAAAGCCGGAUUAAUACCGCAUACGACCUAAGGGUGAAAGAAGGGGAUCGCAAGACCUCUCGUUAUUGGAGCGGCCGAUGGCAGAUUAGGUAGUUGGUGGGGUAAAGGCCUACCAAGCCGACGAUCUGUAGCUGGUCUGAGAGGACGACCAGCCACACUGGGACUGAGACACGGCCCAGACUCCUACGGGAGGCAGCAGUGGGGAAUUUUGGACAAUAUGGACGCAAGUCUGAUCCAGCAAUGCCGCGUGCGGGAAGAAGGCCUUCGGGUUGUAAACCGCUUUUGUCAGGGAAGAAAUCUUCUGGGUUAAUACCUCGGGAGGAUGACGGUACCUGAAGAAUAAGCACCGGCUAACUACGUGCCAGCAGCCGCGGUAAUACGUAGGGUGCAAGCGUUAAUCGGAAUUACUGGGCGUAAAGCGUGCGCAGGCGGUUAUGCAAGACAGAUGUGAAAUCCCCGGGCUCAACCUGGGAACUGCAUUUGUGACUGCAUAGCUUGAGUGCGGCAGAGGGGGAUGGAAUUCCGCGUGUAGCAGUGAAAUGCGUAGAUAUGCGGAGGAACACCGAUGGCGAAGGCAAUCCCCUGGGCCUGCACUGACGCUCAUGCACGAAAGCGUGGGGAGCAAACA